Prunus persica (peach) is the source of this 3228-nucleotide RNA transcript. It is a transcript of the gene named protein phosphatase 2C 29, with no coding region annotated. The transcript is spliced from 4 exons. NCBI's taxonomy places the organism in Eukaryota, Viridiplantae, Streptophyta, Magnoliopsida, Rosales, Rosaceae. The record is from RefSeq and is a predicted model, not a curated record.
CCAGAGGAGCCAACAACUGCACCCAACAACAAAAAAUAAAAAACAUUUAGAAAUUUUUAUUUUUUUUAGAGAGACAAAGUGUUUCUCUCUCUAUAAAAACGAGGUCAGUCAGUCUACUCAACUAAAUAUAUAAAAUCACUGCCACUCUCUCUCUCUCUGUUUACUCUCUCUCUCUCUCUCUCUCUCUCUCUCUCUCUCUCUCUCACACUGCUUCUCUCUUCUUUUUGUUUAUUUUUCGUUUUUUAAAUGGUGCUAUUUGGGUUGUUGAGCUUUGCCGGAAAAUCGUGUAGCAGACAAUUUUCUCGGUAGCCAAACAGCGGAAGCGAGUCAAAUGUGAUGGGAAGUGGAGUCUCGAGCCUCUCCUCUUGCUUCCGGCCGGUUCACCGGACCAACCACCACCACCCAGACCACAACGACGUCGUCUUCGCGGCCUCUGAGCCGUUGGACGAAACCCUAGGCCACUCUUUCUGCUACGUCCGCUCCUCAGCUCGCUUCCUCUCACCUACUCAGUCGGAUCGCUUCAUUUCCCCUUCCAACUCGCUCCGGUUCUCUCCCUCUCACGAGCCAGGCGCGAGGACCCGACCCGGCCUGCACGAGACCGGGUUCAAAGCCAUAUCUGGGGCUUCCGUGAGUGCUAAUAGCUCCACUCCCAGAACUGUCCUCCAGCUUGACAAUAUUUACGACGAUGCCACUGACAGUGUUCUCGGUGGUUUCGGAGGUGGAGUCCGGGGGAGCAUAGUCAAUGGUUUCGAGAGUACGUCGUCGUUUAGCGCCUUGCCUCUUCAGCCCGUGCCACGUGGCGGCGAGCGCGACCCCUCGGGCCCAAUGGAGCGGGCUGGGUUCUUCCUCUCCGGCCCAAUAGAGCGCGGCGCCCUCUCCGGUCCGCUCGACCCGAACCCGAACGCGCAUGGACCGGACGGCCAGGUUCACUUCUCGGCGCCGCUCGGCGGCCUAUACGUGAAAAGGAGGCGGAAGAAGGGCAUUUCGGGGAUUCGGAAGGCGUUGUACCGGAACUUCUCGGAGAAGAAGCAGCGGCCCUGGGUGGUUCCGGUGCUCAAUUUCGUUGGACGGAAGGAGGGCCCACCGCCGCCUGGCGACGAGGCGGAGCCCAAGAGCGAGACAAAUGUCCAGUGGGCUCUUGGAAAAGCGGGGGAGGAUCGCGUACAUGUGGUUGUAUCGGAAGAACAAGGUUGGUUGUUUGUUGGGAUUUACGAUGGGUUUAACGGACCUGAUGCGCCGGAAUUUUUGAUGGGCAAUCUCUACCGUGCAUUUUACAAUGAGCUUCAGGGAUUGUUUUGGGAGGUUGAUGAAGAUGAUCAAGCCCCAGGAACCGAAGAAGCCAAUAACACGAACCCACCAAAUGUAGCUACAGAGAGUGAAGUUGUUGUAGAUGUUAAAAUUGAUGGAAAUGAUUCGAAUUCGAACCCCUUGGCUGAAGCUGAUCGGACAAAGAGAGUGACCUUUCAAUCGGAGGGUAGGAGGCGGCGGCUUUGGGAAUUGCUAGCUGAGGCUGAGGCUGAAGACGGGCUUGACCUUUCGGGUUCUGAGAGGUUUGCGUUUUCUGUCGAUGACGCACUUACAGUGAGCAAUGAGGGUUCUGGUUCUGCAGUUAGUAGACGCUGGCUUUUGCUGUCAAAAUUGAAACAGGGAUUGUCCAAGCACAAAGAGGGUCAGGGUCAUGGUAGGAAGUUGUUUCCAUGGAGGUUUGGUUUGGAGGAUAAAGAGGAGGUUGAGGUUGAGAAUACAGUGGAGGAGAGGUCUGCUCCAACUGGUAGGAGGAGGAAGGAGGGUCCGGUGGAUCACGAAUUGGUAUUGAGUGCAUUGUCAAGGGCUUUACAAGUGACUGAGAAUGCUUAUUUGGAGAUGACUGAUAAGGUUCUUGAUACGAAUCCGGAACUUGCUUUGAUGGGGUCGUGUUUGUUGGUUGUGCUAAUGAGGGAUGAGGAUGUGUAUGUGAUGAAUUUAGGGGAUAGUCGGGCAAUUGUUGCUCAUUAUGAGCCUGAAGAAGGUGGUUCAAGCAUGGAAUCAAGAGGGCACAAGGAUAAUGGGUUGAGCGCUGAGGAUAUAACUGAGUCGUCCUCGGCUGUGGCCAAUGAGGCUCCUACUCAGGCAAUGAAAUUAACCGCACUGCAGCUGUCCACCGACCACAGCACGAGCAUUGAAGAAGAAGUAAUAAGAAUCAAGAAUGAACACCCAGAUGACAAACAUUGUAUUGUCAAUGAUAGAGUGAAAGGUCGUCUUAAAGUUACCAGAGCAUUUGGGCAGGAUUUCUGAACAGCCCAAAUGGAAUGACACAUUGUUGGAAAUGUUUCGAAAUGAGUACAUUGGUACCACACCAUACAUAUCAUGUUUGCCUUCUCUCCGUCACCAUAGACUCUGUCCUAGUGAUCAGUUCUUAAUCCUCUCGUCUGAUGGUUUGUAUCAGUAUUUUAGCAAUCAGGAAGUAGUUUCUCAUGUUGAAAAUUUUAUGGAGAAGUUCCCAGAUGGAGACCCUGCACAACACCUGAUAGAGGAGCUUCUUUUCCGUGCUGCAAAGAAAGCUGGAAUGGAUUUCCAUGAAUUACUGGACAUCCCACAAGGAGACCGCAGGAAGUACCAUGACGAUGUCACCGUUAUGGUUAUAUCGCUUGAAGGAAGAAUUUGGAAGUCAUCAGGAAAGUACCUUUGACAACUUUAUACACAGGCAGUAUUCUCUAUAAAAAGGGGACAUUGCAAUUUCAAUUUUCAGCUAGAGAUAUUCUUCAAGCAGUAUGGAAAGCUUUGCUGCUGACAGUUCCAUGGGUCCAUUAGGUUUUUGUUCUCUCACAGCAUAAGCAUACAACUAAUACGGAUGGUAAUGGCAAAAUGCUGAUGUUAGAUAUCAUCCAAUACUUAAUAGAUGCAAAAAUAUUGGGUUCAGGACAAAAUGAGAUUUUGCAGAUGUGAGGUUGUUGGGGGAAAUGCUCUUUAGGGGAAAGAAAUCUUUUCUUUUUGUCCCUUUUCUUUUAGACUUCUUCAUUUUUUGUUUAAAGAAAAAAAAAUAGAAAAUUUGCAUAGGUGGAGGCUCUUCGAUUUCAUCUGUGCCUCUCUUUUCUUCUUUUCCAGAGCGGAAAAUGUGUUUGUAAAUUGGUUGGGGUACAGAUUUACUUACUGAAAACUUUGAGCAUUCCCUUGUCAAUACUGAGCAUCUGUAAUUUUGAAGGUGGGUUUUCCACCAUUGCGGAUAACAAGAGUUCAAAAUUUUACCAA